RNAcentral lists this long non-coding RNA (433 nucleotides) under Chloebia gouldiae (Gouldian finch). RNAcentral's name for it is "Erythrura gouldiae (Gouldian finch) lncRNA (ENSEGOG00005019056.1)". The record is from RNAcentral. Lineage: Eukaryota; Metazoa; Chordata; Aves; Passeriformes; Passeridae.
CUGGCACUCAAAAGGGGCUCUGCUGUCCUGCCGGACCCUGGCACCUGCUGCAUGUUCUGUCCUUGGGAGCCCUUUGUAACUGGGACCUGUUUUUGCUUCAGACAGAGUGACUUCUGCUGUCCUGUUGUGUGAGUGUUACGGCAGCUCCCUGCUGAAUGUUGGACUCUGAUGGGAGCCUUAAGAUGUACCACAAGUGAAGCAGAUACUGUUAAAGGAAGUUUUGGGGGGAUCUUUCACAUGAUGAGGUAUGACAAAUGCAGAGAUUCCCAAGAGAGGCACUGUCCAUCCUGAAUAUCUUCUAAAAUAUGGGAGUCUGACCCUUCAGAGAUAAUAUGGCAACACACUGGUGAUUAUGCUCUGCGAAUGGAGCUGGAUUAGUGAAGAAUCUCUACAUGGCAAUCAACUCUGGAGAACUUUUCCUCGUGCAGUCAGG